Molecule: ribosomal RNA, 552 nt
Filed under: Bacillus sp. TCPS1
Lineage: Bacteria; Bacillati; Bacillota; Bacilli; Caryophanales; Bacillaceae
Description: bacterial SSU rRNA
Rfam family: Bacterial small subunit ribosomal RNA
Source: RNAcentral
GCUUUUAAAGUUAGCGCGCGAGACGGGUGAGUAACACGUGGGCAACCUGCCUGUAAGACUGGGAUAACUUCGGGAAACCGGAGCUAAUACCGGAUAAUUCUUUCCCUCUCAUGGUGAAAAGCUGAAAGACGGCAUCUCGCUGUCACUUACAAAUGGGCCCGCGGCGCAUUACCUAGUUGGUGAGGUAACGGCUCACCAAGGCAACGAUGCGUACCCAACCUGAAAGGGUGAUCGGCCACACUGGAACUGAAACACGGCCCAAACUCCUACGGGAGGCAGCAGUAGGGAAUCUUCCGCAAUGGACAAAAGUCUGACGGACCAACGCCGCGUGAGUGAUGAAGGUUUUCGGAUCGUAAAGCUCUGUUGUUAGGGAAAAACAAGUACAAGAGUAACUGCUUGUACCUUGACGGUACCUAACCAAAAAGCCACGGCUAACUACGUGCCAGCAGCCGCGGUAAUACGUAGGUGGCAAGCGUUGUCCGGAAUUAUGGGGCGUAAAGCGCGCGCAGGCGGUCCUUUAAGUCUGAUGUGAAAGCCCACGGCUCACCCGUG